CGGCAAUGGAGGAAACUCUGACCGAGCAACGCCGCGUGAAUGACGAAGUACUUCGGUAUGUAAAGUUCUUUUAUCAAGGAAGAAAAGCAAAUGGCGAACCAUUUGUUUGCCGGUACUUGAUGAAUAAGCCCCGGCUAAUUAUGUGCCAGCAGCCGCGGUAAGACAUAAGGGGCAAGUGUUAUCCGGAAUUAUUGGGCGUAAAGGGUGCGUAGGCGGUCUAGUAAGUCAGUGGUGUAAUGGCAACGCUUAACGUUGUCCGGCUAUUGAAACUGCUAAACUUGAGUUAGAUAGAGGCGAGUGGAAUUCCAUGUGUAGCGGUAAAAUGCGUAAAUAUAUGGAGGAACACCAGAGGCGUAGGCGGCUCGCUGGGUCUUAACUGACGCUGAGGCACGAAAGCGUGGGGAGCAAACAGGAUUAGAUACCCUGGUAGUCCACGCCGUAAACGAUGAGUACUAAGUGUCGGGUUAAACCGGUACUGAAGUUAACACAUUAAGUACUCCGCCUGAGUAGUACGUACGCAAGUAUGAAACUUAAAGGAAUUGACGGGACUCCGCACAAGCGGUGGAUCAUGUUGUUUAAUUCGAAGAUACCCGAAAAACCUUACCAGGUCUUGACAUGUUUUUGCAAAAUGAUAGUAAUAUCGUGGAGGUUACCAGAAACACAGGUGGUGCAUGGUUGUCGUCAGCUCGUGUCGUGAGAUGUUAGGUUAAGUCCUAAAACGAGCGAAACCCUUAUCGUUAGUUGCCAGCACGUUAUGGUGGGGACUUUAACGAGACUGCCAAUGAUAAAUUGGAGGAAGGUGAGGAUCACGUCAAAUCAGCAUGCCCCUUAUGACCUGGGCUACAAACGUGAUACAAUGGCUGUUACAAAGAGUAGCUGAA
RNAcentral lists this ribosomal RNA (881 nucleotides) under Candidatus Phytoplasma citri. Its description in RNAcentral is "bacterial SSU rRNA". It matches the Rfam family "Bacterial small subunit ribosomal RNA", at positions 366 to 1254 of the family's 1533-position model. The record is from RNAcentral. Lineage: Bacteria; Bacillati; Mycoplasmatota; Mollicutes; Acholeplasmatales; Acholeplasmataceae.